AUCGACUAGAGUUUGAUCCUGGCUCAGAGCGAACGUUAGCGGCGGGCUUAACACAUGCAAGUCGAACGAGAAUGAGGGGGCAACUCCUCUAGUAAAGUGGCGGACGGGUGCGUAACACGUGGGGCAAUCUACCUUCCAGCGGGGGACAACCGUCCGAAAGGAUGGCUAAUACCGCGUACGUCGGCGAGGAUUCCGGUUCUUGCCGAGAAAGAUGGCCUCUCCUUGGAAGCUGUCACUGGAAGAUGAACCCGCGGCCCAUCAGCUAGUUGGUGAGGUAAUGGCUCACCAAGGCUAAGACGGGUAGCUGGUCUGAGAGGAUGAUCAGCCACACUGGGACUGCGACACGGCCCAGACUCCUACGGGAGGCAGCAGUGGGGAAUAUUGGGCAAUGGGCGGAAGCCUGACCCAGCCACGCCGCGUGAGUGAUGAAGGCCUUCGGGUCGUAAAGCUCUGUGGGGAGGGACGAACAAGCACGGUGCUAAUAUCACCGGGCCCUGACGGUACCUCCUUAGCAAGCACCGGCUAACCCUGUGCCAGCAGCCGCGGUAA
Molecule: ribosomal RNA, 549 nt
Filed under: uncultured delta proteobacterium
Lineage: Bacteria; Deltaproteobacteria
Description: bacterial SSU rRNA
Rfam family: Bacterial small subunit ribosomal RNA
Source: RNAcentral